This 253-nucleotide ribosomal RNA is filed under the name uncultured bacterium. RNAcentral describes it as "partial 16S ribosomal RNA". It matches the Rfam family "Bacterial small subunit ribosomal RNA", at positions 524 to 776 of the family's 1533-position model. The record is from RNAcentral.
UACGGAGGGUGCAAGCGUUAAUCGGAAUUACUGGGCGUAAAGCGCACGUAGGCGGCCAUCUAAGUCAGACGUGAAAUCCCCCGGCUUAACCUGGGAACUGCGUCUGAUACUGGACGGCUUGAGUAUGGGAGAGGGAUGUAGAAUUCCAGGUGUAGCGGUGAAAUGCGUAGAUAUCUGGAGGAAUACCGGUGGCGAAGGCGGCAUCCUGGACCAUUACUGACGCUGAGGCGCGAAAGCUAGGGGAGCAAACGGG